RNAcentral lists this ribosomal RNA (492 nucleotides) under uncultured bacterium. RNAcentral describes it as "partial 16S ribosomal RNA". It matches the Rfam family "Bacterial small subunit ribosomal RNA", at positions 29 to 507 of the family's 1533-position model. The record is from RNAcentral.
AGUGAACGCUGGCGGUAUGCCUAACACAUGCAAGUCGAACGGCAGCACAGUAAGAGCGUGCUGAUACGGGUGGCGAGUGACGGACGGGUAAGGAAUACAUCGGCAUCUACUUUUUCGUGGGGGAUAACGGGGGGAGACUUACGAUAAUACCGCAUACGACCUACGGGAGAAAGCAGGGGUUAUUCGGACCUUGCGCGAAUGAAUGAGCCGAGGUCGGAUUAGUUAGUUGGGGGGGGCAAGGACGACCAAGGAGACGAACCUUAGCUGGCCUGACAGGGUGGUCAGCCCCACUGGACCUGGGACACGCCCCAACGUCCAACGGAAGGCAGCAGUGGGGAACAUUGGACAAUGGGGGCACACCUGCUCCAGCCAUACCGCGUGGGUGAAAAAGGCCUUCGAGUGGUAAAGCCCGUUUAUUGGGAAAGAAAAGUAGCAGGUUAGUACCCCGCUAUUCUGACGGUACCCAACGAAUAAGCACCGGCUAACUUCGUG